AUGAGCAGCCGCGCCGGAGACCGCGCCCUCCCCGCCUCCUCCCCCACCGAACCCGAUCCGGAGGCGCCGUCCGCGGUGAGCGGCGGCGACUUCCCGGCCGACCUCCUGCGGGCGGUCCUGCACCGGCUCCCGCCCGCGGACGUCGCGCGGGCGGCCUGCGUCUGCCGCCUCUGGCGCGCGGUCGCCUCCGACCGCGCCGUGCUCGAGGCCGCCUUCCGCGCGCCCUGGGGGGUGCGCCGCGUCCUCGGCGACCCGGCCACCAGGGCCUUCUGGCGCGCCGCCUCCCUCGCCCGCUUCGCGCUCUCGCACGCCGUCCGUCGCGGGGACACCGUCCCCGGCGUCGCGCUCAAGUACUCCGUCCAGGUGACCGAUAUCAAACGGUUCAACAAUAUGAUGAGUGACCAUGGUAUCUACUCAAGGGAGAGGCUUCUUAUACCAAUCAGUAAUCCAGAAAUCUUGUUGGGUAGCACAUGCUACAUUGAGAUGGAUCACAACUCAAAGAGAGAGGUCGCGGUCUUUUAUCCGGAGGGCCACCCGAAUGGAAACGCGGAAUCCAUGGCAAACGCUGCAGCUGCAAAAAGGCAAAGCAAACGGAUUCUCGAGUCGGUGAGGCGAAGCUUGCAUGUUGAUGACGGAACUGCCGAGUACUACCUGUCCGUCACAGGUGGCGAUCCGAGAGCUGCUAUGAUGGAGUUCUCGGAGGACCUUAGGUGGGAGCAGCGACAAGCAGGCCAAUAG
RNAcentral lists this ribosomal RNA (738 nucleotides) under Triticum aestivum (bread wheat). RNAcentral's name for it is "partial small subunit ribosomal RNA". The record is from RNAcentral. Lineage: Eukaryota; Viridiplantae; Streptophyta; Magnoliopsida; Poales; Poaceae.